AAAAAAAAACAUAAGCCCAAUGUUUCAAUUUAAAUCAGGGCCCAAAGACUUUAAUAAAAUCGGCCCAAAGACUUUAAUAAAAUCGGCCCAUAGCCAAAGCCCAAUACCAUUUAAACACAAGCCCAAUCUUUUAAAAGAUAAAGGCACAAUUAAAAUAAAUGAAUAGGCCCAAAUUCCAUUUAAAUUAAUUCAAGCCCAAUAAAAAUAAUGAGAAGAGCCAAUUAAAUUAAAGACUGGCCCAUUUUGAAUUUAUUUGUGAAAGCCCAAGCAAUUAAAAUAAAAUCAAGCCCAGCUUAAAAUAAUUCGGCUCACAAUAAAAUAUCUCUAGCUCAUUCUUUAAUAAACUCAGCCUAAAUAUCGGCCCAUCAAGAAAAUAAGAAGCAGCCCAAUUAAAUUAAUAAAAGAGGCCCAAAGUAAAUAAAUGCAAUGGCCCAAACCAAAUAAAAUGACAAGCCCAAAAAUUUAAAAGGAAAGAGCCCAAAUCAAGCCCAUCUCUUUUUCUUCUCUUCUCAAAUUCUCGGUCCUUCAUUUUUCUCUCUUCUCAAACUCGCCGCUGCCCUCUUUUUCUUCUCUUCUCAAAUUCUCUUUCCCUCUCCGGCGAAGCCGCGCCGGCCGAGCUUCUGCUGCUGUCUCUCUCUAAUCCCAACUCAAGGAGCCGCUCAUCACUCUUCCUCAAAGCUUACGCUCGGCAUCCUCAAAACUCUGAUCGGCUUCACCUUCUCCGGCUAAAUCUGGCAGGCUGCGCCUCCUCCGGGCGUUCAGCUGUCAUCUGCUUCGGUUGGCUUCGACCGGCGACGAGUCUAACCCCGGCGCCGUUCUCUCUCCUCCCCGCAGAGCCCCAAAAUCGAGCCCUAAAAUCUGGAACACCGCUGCUACUCCUUCGUUCGGAAUCCGGCGAGCAUCGUCGGUUGGGAGCGGCGCCGUCCAAUUCCGGUUCUCAAAUCCCCCUCCGACGUCGAGCCCUAACUCUUCCCUGAGGUUUCAAACUCCGACCUUCAUCUCAAAUCCGACCGCGGAACCCAGAUCGAGCUCUAACUUUCAAUUACCAGGUCACCGCUGCUCCGCGUCCCCGUCUGAAAUCGCCGCCGACUGCUGCUGCUUCGCCUGGAGUCGUCGCCGACUGGAGUUGCUGCUGCUCGUCCGGUGGUCAGCGGACGUCGUCUGGGAGCGCCGCCGCCGGUCUUCCACGGCUACCGCGUCGCCGUCCCCUUCACCUCUCGAUCCGACCUCAGCCGAGGCGGGUGCCGCCGCCGCCGCUGUCCAGAAUCGGCGAGGGUACUUCGCCGCUGCUUCUCCGGCGUUCGGCUCUUCCUUCUCUGUCCGUUGAGCUCCGUCAGGCAGCAAGAGAUGCCGCUGAAAUCUGUCAUCUGCUCAAGAACCAGCUCAAGCCUCUCUCUCUCUCUUGGUUCAGGCGAUGUCGCUUCUGCUCAGCUGACGACCUCCAUCUCCUCUUCAUCGGUCAGCGUUGACGUCAUCUGGUAUCCCUCCCCGAUUUAAUGAAAUCAGGUUGAAAUGGAGGCUCCCCUGCUCUUUGGGAGAUUCUUGGUGAAAAGUGAUAGUGAGUCUUGCGUUGCUUGGCUGAAGUUGAGACUACGAUAAGGAAGAGUUGUUGCUGCACUAGUAUGGUGGGGGAGUUGGUGGUUGUGGAGUUGGUGGGGAGAAAAGGAUGGUGGGAAGUGUGGUGGAGUGGAUGGUGGAAGAGUAGGUGUAGUGGUGGGAAAAAAUGUAGUGGAGGAUUAAUGAUGUAUAUUCUAUGUCUCGGUGAUUCUGUAAUUGUAAUAAAAUACUGGCUUCUGUUCAUUAUUCGUGUAUAAAUUAAAUACGUAGAUUUAAUUCACUUCA
Long non-coding RNA from Salvia miltiorrhiza (redroot sage), 1842 nucleotides. RefSeq lists it as uncharacterized. The transcript has 2 exons. Lineage: Eukaryota; Viridiplantae; Streptophyta; Magnoliopsida; Lamiales; Lamiaceae. The record is from RefSeq and is a predicted model, not a curated record.